UACGUAGGUGGCAAGCGUUGUCCGGAUUUACUGGGCGUAAAGAGCGCGCAGGCGGUUGAUUAAGUCGAAUGUGAAAGCCCCCGGCUCAACUGGGGAGGGUCAUUCGAUACUGAUCGACUCGAAGGCAGGAGAGGGUAGUGGAAUUCCCGGUGUAGUGGUGAAAUGCGUAGAUAUCGGGAGGAACACCAGUGGCGAAGGCGACUACCUGGCCUGUUUCUUGACGCUGAGGCGCGAAAGCUAGGGGAGCAAACGGG
This 254-nucleotide ribosomal RNA is filed under the name uncultured bacterium. RNAcentral describes it as "partial 16S ribosomal RNA". It matches the Rfam family "Bacterial small subunit ribosomal RNA", at positions 524 to 776 of the family's 1533-position model. The record is from RNAcentral.